Molecule: non-coding RNA, 178 nt
Filed under: Formivibrio citricus
Lineage: Bacteria; Pseudomonadati; Pseudomonadota; Betaproteobacteria; Neisseriales; Chitinibacteraceae
Description: 6S / SsrS RNA
Rfam family: 6S / SsrS RNA
About the family: E. coli 6S RNA was the first non coding RNA to be sequenced, but its function was unknown until recently. It consists of 184 nucleotides that fold into an extended hairpin structure with a large single-stranded internal bulge. The 6S RNA specifically associates with RNA polymerase holoenzyme containing the sigma70 specificity factor.
Source: Rfam by way of RNAcentral
GUUUUCCUGCGGCGUCCGUUACGGCUCAUAUUCUUUGAACCGAUAAGCAGACCCCGGUUGCCAGCCAUACAAGGCCUGUUGUGUACGUUCCCCGUCGAACGAACCUGAUGGCCAAGGCCGGCGACCCCUUGAACCUCAGGGUUCAAGAUGCGAGCCGGACGGCGCUUGCGGGAAACCU